GUCUGGCAUUGUAAGGAGACAUGAGA
This 26-nucleotide non-coding RNA is filed under the name Bombyx mori (domestic silkworm). RNAcentral also lists the same sequence under 1 other name. Lineage: Eukaryota; Metazoa; Arthropoda; Insecta; Lepidoptera; Bombycidae. The record is from RNAcentral.